Molecule: ribosomal RNA, 468 nt
Filed under: uncultured bacterium
Lineage: Bacteria
Description: partial 16S ribosomal RNA
Rfam family: Bacterial small subunit ribosomal RNA
Source: RNAcentral
GACGAACGCUGGCGGCGUGCUUAACACAUGCAAGUCGAACGGAAAGGCCCUGCUUUUGUGGGGUGCUCGAGUGGCGAACGGGUGAGUAACACGUGAGUAACCUGCCCUUGACUUUGGGAUAACUUCAGGAAACUGGGGCUAAUACCGGAUAGGAGCUCCUGCUGCAUGGUGGGGGUUGGAAAGUUUCGGCGGGUGUGGAUGGACUCGCGGGUUAUCAGCUUGUUGGUGGGGUAGUGGCUUACCAAGGCUUUGACGGGUAGCCGGCCUAAGAGGGUGACCGGCGGCAUUGGGACUGAGAUACGGCACAGACGGCUACGGGAGGCAGCAGGGGGGAAUAUUGCACAAUGGGCGGAAGCCUGAUGCAGCAGCGCCGCGUGUGGGAAGACGGCUUUCGGGGGGUAGACCGCUUUCGCCUGUGACGAAGGGUGAGUGACGGUAAUGGGUAAAGAAGAACCGGCUAACUACGUG